RNA transcript from Zea mays, 6015 nucleotides. RefSeq lists it as uncharacterized. The transcript is spliced from 15 exons. The record is from RefSeq and is a predicted model, not a curated record. NCBI's taxonomy places the organism in Eukaryota, Viridiplantae, Streptophyta, Magnoliopsida, Poales, Poaceae.
AUUGCGGACGGAGUGAGGAUGGGCCCUUCCUCCCCCGCGCUCGCCCCUACGGCGACCGAGCUCCAAAGCAGCGCCACCGCCAGAUCCGCCCGCCUCCGGCCGUCCCCGGCUCCUGCCGGCUGCACCAAGUCAGAUCCAACCCCGCCCCCCCCUCCAGCACCACCAGCUCGCCCUCCUGUGUCCCAGCUCCCACCGCCACCGCCCUCACAUCUACCGCCGGCCCGCCCUUCUGAUCCAACUGCAUGCCGUGCGCCGGCGGCCCCCUACCAAACCAAGCGGGUGAGGUUUGCAUUCACUGCAAGCACCACGCCGCCCCGCAUUCACUACCCCUCCGCCGUAUCCCGCAGCCACAGUGCCACCCCCGCCCCGACAGCUGGUUCGAAGCCCCCGUCUGGAAGCUGCGACCGCAUUGAAGAUGAGGAUCUUGAAGGAUGGACGACGAUUCGGCGCAGGCGUGGACGCGCCGCCCGCGCAGGCCUAGGCUGCGCCCCAGCGGCGCCUCGCCUUCUCUCAGCCCAUGCCCCUAGCCGUCUGAUGUUUGGAUGAUUUCUCACUUUGCUAGCUGCGGUGGACAGGUGGUAAAGUGAACCAGGUAGUAAUCCCAUCACAUGGCUAUUUGAAAGGUGUGAGAGACUUUUGUUCUAAACACAACGUUUUGAUGAUUGCUGAUGAGAUCCAAAUUGGCGUAGCUAGAACUGGUAAAAUGCUGGCAUGUGAUUGGGAAAACAAACAGCUGACAUGGUGGUUUCUUUUCUGCUACACUCUUGUUUAUUAACUAUACUCAUUACAUUCUGUGUUGGAGUUAUUCCAGUCAGUGCAGUUCUUGCAGACAAGGAUGUCAUGCUGUGUAUCAGACCAUGGGAACAUGGUAGUAUGACCAAAUCUCUAUACUUUUCUCUGCUCUCUUUUCUUCUUUCCAACUUUUCUCCGCUUCAAGGUUUUCCAAUCAAGGAAAAAAAAUGCUUACGUGCUGACGUCAAAACUUAGAAUUAGGGGCAUGUUGAUGUUCAAAUUGAAGCAUCAAAGAACCAUAUAGUGCCGCCGGCCAACAGCAGCAUCAAAGAACAAUAUUGAUUGUCUUGCAAAGUGCCGCCGGCCAACAGCAGCAUCCAAGAUUCUCUUCUUCUUUUUUUUUGUGAGAGGGCCUCUAGCCGAGUUAGUUAGGUGGUCUGACAUUCUUCGGGUUCUGGGUUCGACUUGUUGUGGAAGCGAAUUUUAGCUGUGGUUAAAAAAUCACCUCAACUGUCUCACGCCAAAUCCUAUGUGAGGAAAUCUUUUCUUAAUAUAAUACUCGGGGCUAUCUUAUCUCGUAGAUCGAUUUUUUUAAUUUCUUUUUCUCAAUAUAUUCCUUUUUUUUGUCUCCACGGAGUGAACUAAUUUAGAUAAAGUUUGUGUUAAAUCACUAACAUGUUGUUUUUACUGUAUUUACCCCAUCUUUGAUGUUCGCCAGCCUCGUGAAGACAGACACCCUCGCAGACGUCAUUUCUUUAUGAAUAGUAAGAUGCAUGCAUCAUCAUGUAUGAUUUAAUCACAGCCUCAAGGAAGGACUGAACGGUCACAGAAAGUACCCUCAGUCCAUAAAUAUAUGACACGUUGACUUUUUAAAAAAACUUUGACCACUCGUCUCAUUUAAAAAAGAAUGAGUUAUUAUUUAUUUUUAUGAUUUAUUUUAUCACUUAAGGUUGUUUGUGUUUGACUUAAAAUUUUAUAUUUUAAAUAAAUAUUUUGAAUAAGGGAGUGACUAAAGUUUUUUUAAAAAAAGUCAACGGUGUCAUAUAUUUGUGAAUGAAGUUAGUACUGGUUUGUAGAUGUUUAAGUGCCAUAUGAACUUUUGAACACAACACACAUCUUAUUAGGUUUUUAUGACAGUUAAACCCUGUUUGGUUAGAGGGACUAAUCUUUAGUCCCUAAUUUUUAGUCCCUAUUUUGCCAAACGAAGGACUGAAUUAGGGACUAAUUAGCUUUAGUCUUUAUGCUCUCACAUGGGUGCUAAAAGGGACCAAAUGACAAUAUUUACUCCAAUUAUCCUUGCCUUGCCUAGAAAGCUAACGUCAUACACAAUAAACAAGAAAAUAGAUAUUUUAGUCUUUAUGUGUUGUAUUUAAUGUAUUUAGAAUCUUUUUUACAACCAAACAAGAUAGUGACUAAACUUUAGUCUAUGACUAAUGGAGCCAAACGGGGCCUUAAUAUAGCGAUCUCAUUCAUGAUUCGUGGCACUCUGGGUUGGACAGCUUGCAACAUCUUGAAGCCACUGUAGCCCUUUAGGUCCUUGGUCAUGGCCUUAUGCUCAGCAGGUUCAGUUUCAUCGGUGGACGUUCAUGUUCCGUUCCUCUUUCAAUCUUCAUACAUAUCAACGUCGAGUUGAUGCAGAACACAAAUCGGUAAAGGCCUCUACUGACGAAUGCAGGAAACCUUGGAAACCUGCUACUGAUCAUUGUCCCGGCUGUAUGCGUUGAAAGAAGGGAACCCGUUUGGGAACGAUCCCAAGCAUUUGCUGCUCAUGCAGUCUCCUACUCGUCCUUGUCCAUGGGCCAUGGCUGAUGGCUGUAGUGUAGGUUCUGCUCUCUUUUAGUUCCAAAAAGGGGCAACCUGUCUUGUUUAUUCAAAGAUGUUGUUGUGUCAAAGGUUUAGAUUACUGAGGGGGUUAAUUAUUAGGGAUCCGCUGUGUGGAGAUAAGAUUUCAGGGAAAUAUUUUUAGUGGAGCCCCUGUACAUAGUUUUUGAGGAAAAAAAUCCUUGAAAGACUUUUGGGCACGGAUCUUAAAACCUUUUUUAGACUACAUCUUUGAACAUCAUUGUUGCACACAGAGUGCAAAUAACUCCAGCUUCAUGUUGUAUCAAAAUUAAAUAGACAUAAUAUGUAAUGGUCUACUAGUUAUAUGUCCGUGCAUUGCUUCGUUUAUAUAUAUAUAUAUAGUUUAUCUAUUAAGAGCCCUGGGCUCUAUAUAACUGUAGAGAGCCCCAGCCCACGUCCGAUCACUUUUUACGCAAGCGAACAGAUUUAGCGUAAACGGAAACCCAUUUUAGCGUAAACAGAGUAACAACCGCGAGCCCUACAUGUUUACGUUAUUCCAUUCUUCCGUUUAUACAUAAUAGUGAUUUAGCAUAACUACUUCAGCCGACCCACGUUCCAGAAAUAAAGGAAUGGGCCCACUACCCCACUUCCCACGCGGUCAAACACUUCUAUACCCUAACCCCCGCGCGGUCAACCAUCCUGGCCGACUCGCCGCGUUUCUUCAGCGGUCGCCUGGGCGAUUCUUGUUCAUCCGCCGCCGCCAGCCCGUUUCGCCGUCCUCCACCGCCGCACGCCCUCAACAUUAAUCGUCGCCGCCGUUGACAUCAUCGUCGAGCCGCUGCCGUUGUCAAUCUUGCGCGCCCCGCGUCACAUUGGCUCACGUCCGCGGUCGCUAUGUCGUCCGGAUUCCAAGUGUGAAUCGCCUUCAUUUGUCUCCGCGCGAACUCAACCCUAAUCGGCGCCGCCGUUGACAGUGUCGUCGAGCCGGCCGCUGCUGUCAAUCCUCCGCCACCGCGUCCUAUAGGCUGCUGUUUCAAUAAUGCGGAAGGUUGAUCGACCCCCAACCAAUUCGAAGUGUUUAAUCAUUGAGUCAAGUCAAGAAUGUUUCAGUGUUGACAUUCCAUGCUCGACUGACAUGGCAGACCCUACAAAUACGCCUUCUGAUGGUGAUCCUCCGCAGCAUAGAAAGACAAGUGUUGCAGCUGCUGCUAAAAACAUUGCUAUGCCUAAUGUGGAUGAUGAUGAUGACUUUGAGCCACCCAAAAAGAAGUGCAAUAUCUCAAUGGAUGCCCCAAAUAAGACGCAGAAGCUAGACCCCAGGGACAUGACUCUUCGUAUUGGUCCAGACAAAGAACUCAAAAUCACCAAGCAGACUGUCCAUCAGAUAUUGGGUCUUCCAAAUUUGGGUGGUGGAAAGCCCCUUAAUAUUAAUGAAGCGAACGCUGCGGCAACACUUCGGGCCUCAUUGAAUAUUACCAAGGAUGAGUUUGUUAUUUCAAAGCUCCAAGAUAGACUGAGGCUAGGCCAGGAUGAUGAUCUUUCUAUCAGAUGUUUUUUUCUCAUUCUCUUCAACCGGCUGCUAUUCCCAACAGCUAGCUGGUCUAUUUCUUUCAAUGAGGUUGUACUUACAGAAGAAAUGGAGCGAUUCCCUCAAAUUGAUUGGUGCCAUCUAAUUUUUAGUGACUUAUGUGAGGCUGCCCAGAGAUGGCACAACAGGAGCAUUAACAAUGUGUCGGCGACGAUAUAUGGCUGUUCCAUCAUUGUUCUUCUGUAUUAUUUGGAUCAUUUGCAUCAUGCUGCUGCUCCAAACAACAAAAAUGGCACUCCACGCAUAAAGUAUUUUAAUAAGAAUAUUAUAAGGGCGUUGUCAAUGGCCGAUAAGCGGAAGCCUCGCCAGGGUGGUGAACCAUUUGGUGUUUGCCCUUUUCGUAGCAGCAGUGAGACAUGUUACGUCUCAAAAUCGCCAACUACUUGCCAGAUUGAGUUUCCUAUGAGGCCAGAAACUUUUGAUGAAGACCCAAAUCAACAUGAUCGACUUCCCAAUAUAAUCAUCCAACUCCCUCUUAUGCAAGACUUGAUGGCAAAUAAGAUUCAGAUGCUUCCUGUACAUCAACGCCAGAAGUUCCAAGCUACGUUGAUUGAUUAUGACUUAGAGGUUGGCAAAAUAUUUGCCUCUAUCAAGCAAUGUUUGAAUACUAUUGGUACAAAGCAGUCCAAUCUAGCCGCUACAUUUGGAGAAUUGAUUGAUGAGGUUCUUCGGGCCGAUGAAUCUGUUACACCAAAUACUACAGUGGUAGGUGGCACAGUUGAAAAUGAUUCUGGACCAGUAUUUGACAAGACUCCUAUUGGGAGUGUUUCUGCACCAGGUCUCUUCUUAUCUGAAUUAGAAUGUGCUCGCGCUCUUCGGGCAUACUUGUGUUCUAGGUUCAUUGAAUUGGACAGAAAUAUAAUUGACUUUGGUGAACAUCGCGCCAAUUGUUGUGACAUACAACAAUCUUUUGCUGAUGGCGCAUGUCUCGACAACGUGUUUAUGCAAUGUGUCAUUGAGUGUGUCCGCGAUGACUGGUCUAAACAUAUUCCUCCACUCAAUGCUCACCAGCUCAUUCUAGAUGUUAAUGUUGGGGCUAUAUUGAACUUUGAGGAGCAGGAGCAACAUAGUAAGUCUCCUCGUCCAUUUGACCCUUCAGUUUUGGAGAGUUACCUAUUGAAGACACUGCCUUCUUUCAAGCAGCUGGAUGACUACAAAUCAAUAAUGGUACCCAUGCUACGAUCUGGACAUUGGACAUUGUAUGUUGUUAAUCUUCAGAUUGGACGCAUACAUGUGUUAGAUUCCAACCCUUAUGGACCAGAGAUGGGUGGGACUAUCUGGAAAAAUUACCAUUGUAUACCUAUGGAUUUGGGUGAUAGGAAGGUUUCAUGGGCCAUGUUAAUGAUGAGUAGGCUCAAUCUAGCUAUUCAAAAUGCUCGACCAAGAUCAGCUCUCCCUGCUUUUUUGAAGUACCCUAUUGAACUCAUGAAUAACUGCCCAACAAUGAAAUUGGGGUCUAAUGAUUGUGGAUUCUUUGUCAUGAGAUAUAUGCAGAACUACGACUACAUGGUUGGAGCUAUGAAUGCAGUCAUUGAUCCGGAUAAUUCAGAGGACAUUCGCUCUCUUGUACUGCAUUACCUAAUAUUCCAUCGACUAAAUAGAAACAGCUUCGUGGUCUCCCAUCUGGACAGAUUCAAGUUCUCUCAGUAGUAGCCUAGUAUAGUUUACUAUCUUAAUAUUAGUAUGAACAUCAUGGUCUGAUGGCUUUUGGUGGCUUCAAGUUAUCUCAGUUCUAGCUUAGUUUAGGGUAGUGUCACUGAAUGGUGUUCAUGUACAUAUUGGUAUGUUGGCUUAUGUUAGGAUUCAGAUAAUACUUAUGUCCAUAUGCAGCUCUUAGCAAACUCUUAUAUAUAUCAUACCAGAUAUGUUUUAGAUGGUUAUAUUUAUAUAUGAUAGUUCUGCACUUUAUCAUU